RNAcentral lists this long non-coding RNA (5032 nucleotides) under Sus scrofa (pig). Its description in RNAcentral is "lncRNA (ENSSSCG00000062404.1)". The record is from RNAcentral. Lineage: Eukaryota; Metazoa; Chordata; Mammalia; Artiodactyla; Suidae.
AGCUGGGGUGAGGGUUUGGCAUUCUCUUGUGAACUUCUGACCUUUCCUGUCUCACUUGUCUAUCUGCCACCCAAAGACAGCAUUGUCUUACCCCGGGGCACCAUGCUGAUUCACAAAGAGGGUGAAAAGCCCGUGGGGUCACAGGUGGGCAUGACCACACUCACCUGCAGCUGCCUGGGUCUGGAGAUUAAGUCCUGGGCUCGUGGGCUCCGUGACUCAGGCAGCACAAGCUGUUGCCUGCUUGUGGUCCAGGCUGCCUGGCGCAUGUUCAGUGUUAGCAAAUGAGGGGCCCCUGUUCCAAGUGUGGAUUCAGGUGCCCUGGAGACCCUGAGCUGCUUUGUGAAGCCACUUUCAUUAGAGAAUAUAGAGUGAUCCAAGAAAGGCAACAUUUGGUUGGAAGAAAAGCAAAUUUGAAAGGAUCAGACGUAAGAAAUGAAGGUGGUUUCUUUACUCAUACUUGAAAUCUCACAAUCCAAGGUGAGAGCAAGAAGGACAGAUCCUUGCUGCUAAAUGUCUUCAGGAGAUGCCUGAAACUUUAUCACUUUCUAAUAUGUGGAUUUUGAAGUGAUUGGUCUCUGUCUACAUUCUUUUGUCCAAUCUUAAAAAAUUUUUUUAGUCAUUUUUAGUAGACACAAAGAACACAAUUUAGUGCCUUAAUUAAGCCCACAAUAAAGUUCUGACCUGUGUUUAAUAACCUUCAUGAUUGUGAUUGUUCCAUGUUCUAAUUAGGCAUAAAUGGUGAGCAGUUCCUAUAAAUUCCUGUAAUUGUUAUUACUUGUAUACUACCAAGGCAUAUUUUUAUUUUAUUUUAUUUUAUUUUUUUAUUUUUUGUCUUUUUGGCAUUUCUUGGGCCGCUCCUGCGGCAUAUGGAGGUUCCCAGGCUAGGGGUCUAAUCAGAGCUGUAGCCACCAGCCUAUGCCAGAGCCACAGCAACGCAGGAUCCGAGCCACGUCUGCAACCUACACCACAGCUCACGGCAAUGCCGGAUCGUUAACCCAUUAGCAAGGGCAGGGAUCGAACCUGCAACCCCAUGGUUCCUAGUUGGAUUCGUUAACCACUGCGCCAUGACGGGAACUCCAACCAAGGCAUAUUUUUAUGACAUUUUUGCUUAUAAUUUCUUAGCUUGGAGUGGCCUAUAAAGUACGAUUGUCACAAUUUAAAUUUCAUUAAGCACAGUGUGUAUAUUCUGAUCCUUCAAGAAGUGGAUGCUAAGGUGGAAUUAGGUGCGUUGGAGAUUUGCAAGGAAAAUGGCUGUGAAGGAUAAAGGGGCAGGGGCAGGACCAGUCUGGGGAAGACUUCAGACUAAGAUGCAGCCUGACACUUGUUAAGGACAGGAGUCAAGAAAGAAGACUGGAUGGGAAGAAUCCCUGACUGCAUAGAAGUUUCGAGAAAGGUUUGGCCAGGCUGGCGGAGGAGGGGGAAGUGCAGAGCCCAAGGCACCUGUCAGAGGAGUCCUGACUCUCGCAGCAACAGGCCUGCAUAAAUUGUCCACUCGGCUUGGUCACUGGCUGGGAGCAGCCUGCUGGAAGCAUUGCCUGGACUUGACCAUGGUGGUAGAUCCAGCAGGGCCAUCAGUCAGCUAUGCUCCCUGUAGCAGGAGAGCUGAGCCAAGUGUUUUCCCGGUCAUACUAUAUAGACUUAAUGCAAAUUCAAAUGCACGGAUACCUCUGCAGUCAGUUCCUGGGGUCCCCUAUUCCCACCCCCUUGCCAAUUUCUCAGAUCUGAGAUGCUCUCAGGGUUUUCCCACAGAAUUGGUCCUGGGCUGUGGAUUCUGCUUUCUGUCUCUGGGGAAAAAGCGAGGCCCUGAUGUGCUGGUUCUGUAAGGAUUUCUAGGACAAGGGCAUGGUUUUCCUAUGUGAGGGAAGGGGGGAAGGUUGAGAGAGCACACUAGAUUUUUGGCUUUGGGGAGUCUUGGAUUGGAGGGAGGAUUUGGUAGACCCAGAAUCUGUGUUGGGAGCGAGAGCUGUGGUUGGAAGAGGCAGAUGGAGCAUUUGCCAGAACGAGGCCACCAACAGUCACAGAGGGUGGGCUUGUCAUUCCAGAGGGAAUAUGGAGAAAUUCUGAGGGGUCCAUGUGUCCUGAUCCCUGCCAGGCACCCUUCCAUGACCAGGGUGUGCUAAGCCUGUUUUCACACCCUGUCACCAAAUAACUCCUUAGCUGCCAGCUGAUGUCUAAAACUCCUUUAGCUGUUAUAAAGCUUUUUAUUCCAUAAUUAGAAAGCUUUAAAGGAAUCCUCUGGUUUACUAUGCUGAAGUCAAUCCUCAUAGCUAGGUAUGUCUGUCCCUCUUUAGACUAGGAGUUAUUUUGGUACAGAGACCAUGUUUUUUGCUAUCCAAUUUCCGGAACCUACAAAAUCCCUGGUACAAAAUAGAUUCUCAAUACUUUUUUUUGUUGUUGAAUUGAAUGGAAUUGAGUAGAUACAGAUACUUCUGAGAGAAGUACCAUAGCAACCAAGAUGGGUCACAUCCAAGUGGAUAAAUAUGUGGGAGUGCAAAACUGGGGACCUUCGGAUGUCUGAAUUCAAGUGUCAAUUCCAGGACACUCUACCUAUGAGACUGUGGAUCAAUGUUUUAUCCUUUCUGCAUUUUAAUUUCAUUCUUACAAAAUGAGGCCGAAGCCCCUUUCCCUAAUAAACUAGCAUUCCUGUGAGUAUCAAAUGAUAAAGGACUCUGAAGUAUAAAAGUGAUGUGUAAAAUUAUAUUAUUUUUCUUAUUUUGGGGGGUACUUAGGAUUGAAUUUAAAGGUAGUCAAUGCUUGGAACCAGGAGAGAGUAUGGUGAGAGGGGUUUUAACGAUACCCCAAACUGCCUGGGCAUGGAGGUAUUUUAGGCCAUGCAGCACUGUAAUUGCCAAUUGCAGGAAAUUCAAGAUUAAGAAAAAACACUGUAACUCUAUUAUACAAAACAUGAAGUAAUCCAUGGUUCACAUCUGAAAGGCAAUUCCUCUAGUAGCUUUUAUGCUUUCUAUAAACAGGAAUAAAUGCUAUUCACUCAAUAUACUUGCUUUAAUAAUAAAUCCUAUAAACAACAUAGCCACCCUUUUAUUGCUGGAGAAUAGUGUUUAACUGAAGUAACCUACUAUUGUUGAGGUAUUUAUGGUUUACCAAAUAUUUUUCUGUACAUUACGAUUUUGAUUCAUCAUAAUUACUCUGGAAAAGGAGCCUAAGAAAGAGUUUUCAUGACAUUUCAUCACUUAGUAGUUUAGAGCUGUUAAAGGAAUUUUAUGAAAAAAAAAAUUGGGAGGUGGUUAAAAUCUUGGGGUCAGAUAGACCUGGUUUAUUUUAUUUUAUUUAUUUUAUUUUAGUCUUUUUAGGGCCACACCUGUGGCAUAUGGAGGUUCCCAGGCUAGGGGUUGAAUUGGUGUUGUACCUGACGGCCUACACCACAGCUCACAGCAACACCGGAUCCUUAACCCAUUGAGUGAGGCCUGGGAUAGAACCUGCAUCCUCAUGGAUGCUAGUUAGAUUUGUUUCUGCUGAGCCACGGCAGGAAUUCCUAGACCUGGUUUAAUCGAGGGUUUUGCAACAUGCUAGCUGGGUGACCUUGGAAAGUAAAUAACUUAUCUCAGGCCCAGUUUCCUGUUCUGCAAAAUGAAGGCUUAACUAUUACUGAAAUAUUUCCUAGAGAAAUGCAAUAGCUCCGCAUUUGGAUUUCAAAGAGGGAAAAGGAUCUUGACUUGGGGAUGGACCCCAAGGGCUUUUCCAAGUAGAAAUGCUGACAUUAGAUGAGCUGAUGGGGAGGCAUUGAACUUCUUAACACAGAGACUGUCUCAUACUAUACAUUCAAUUAAUGUCUAAUUUUAGCUUUAAAAUAGUUUACAAAGUGUUUUCACAUACUUUGCUCAGUGUUCCCAGUAACCUCAUAAAGCUUUUCUUUCCAAAUGAAGAGCUAAUGCUUAGAGAGCUUAUCAUUUGCCCCUGUUACAUACGAGCCACGUCUUACACCCGGCUCGGCUUCAGUGAUGACCACUGCCUGUCGCAGUCAGGGAAACUCAUCACCAACUGCGGCUAUUAAGAAAAAAAGGUGGGGGCGGUUGGGAAAGGGGGAUCCUGGAGCAUGGACAAUCUACUAAAGAAUGAGAAGAUCCUUUGCUGAAGGAUGAGUGAAGUUAAACGGAAAGGACUCUAGUUUCUGUUUUCUCUUUUCUUCAGCUUCAAUGAGCAGAUCUAUGACCUGAGGGUGUUUCUAAGGCCUUUAUAAACUCUUAGCAUUUGUGUUAUUUGAUCAUUUGUGGCACACAUGGAAUUUAAAGCAAAUGAAUCAUUUUGGUUAGUUGAUAUUUUAAGUAGCAUUCAAGUUCAUUUAUUUUCUGUCGUAGAAGUUAUGUUAUUACUAAAAUUUUGAAAAGCAAUAUAGGAUCUUUAAGAUAGGUAACAAUAUAAGUGAUUUUCUUUUCCAGACACAAUCUCUAUUAUCAUUUCAGUGCCUUUGACCUUUAUUUUACUGUGUGCAAGUCUAUCAUGGUUUGAAACCCAGCUUUACAUUUUUUGGACAUGAUUUUGUAUAGCAAUGACAGGGAGAUUGUCUUCUGGUAAUUUUGGUAUUGUUGGUUUGGGAGGAGUUUUGAGGGUCAUGUUAACGUACUGAUGUGUGCAAAUAUACAGGGCAAGUUAAUUCAGGUGUAAGAGGCUCGUGGUGCAAUCAGAAAACAGGAAAACAGGAGAAGGAGGCUGCCAUGAGGAGAGGAGCAGUGGACGGGACUCCCCUGGAGUGCAGAUCAGGAUCACUGAGAGGGACAGGUCACGCCCUAUCCACCUGGGGAAUAACAUGGUGAGCCAAAAAACCAUGAACUUCUACAAAGUGAGAAUGAGUAGGUGAGGUCAAGAGAAAGAUCAUGAGGGAGUUCCUGUUGUGCUCAGUGGGUUAAGAAUCCAACUAGUAUCCAUGAGCCUCCCUCAGUGGGCUAAGGAUCUGUGUUUGCCACAAGCUGUGGUGUAGGUUGAAGACACAGCUUGGAUCCGGCAUCUCUGUGGCUGUGGUAUAGGCAGGCAGCUGCAGCUCCAAUUUGCCCCCUAGCCUGGGAACUUCCAUAUG